Molecule: ribosomal RNA, 151 nt
Filed under: uncultured marine eukaryote
Lineage: Eukaryota
Description: partial 18S ribosomal RNA
Source: RNAcentral
GCGGUUAAAAAGCUCGUAGUUGGAUUUCUGCUGAGGACGACCGGUCCGCCCACUGGGUGAGUAUCUGGCUCGGCCUUGGCAUCUUCUUGGAGAACGUAUCUGCACUUGACUGUGUGGUGCGGUAACCAGGACCUUUACUUUGAGGAAAUUA